GUGAUAUGAACCGUUAUAACCGGCGAUACCCGAAUGGGGAAACCCAGUGUGACUCGUCACACUAUCAUUAACUGAAUCCAUAGGUUAAUGAGGCGAACCGGGGGAACUGAAACAUCUAAGUACCCCGAGGAAAAGAAAUCAACCGAGAUUCCCCCAGUAGCGGCGAGCGAACGGGGAGGAGCCCAGAGCCUGAAUCAGCAUGUGUGUUAGUGGAAGCGUCUGGAAAGGCGCGCGAUACAGGGUGACAGCCCCGUACACAAAAGCGCAUGUGCUGUGAGCUCGAUGAGUAGGGCGGGACACGUGGUAUCCUGUCUGAAUAUGGGGGGACCAUCCUCCAAGGCUAAAUACUCCUGACUGACCGAUAGUGAACCAGUACCGUGAGGGAAAGGCGAAAAGAACCCCGGCGAGGGGAGUGAAAAAGAACCUGAAACCGUGUACGUACAAGCAGUGGGAGCACAGGUUUACCUGUGUGACUGCGUACCUUUUGUAUAAUGGGUCAGCGACUUAUAUUCUGUAGCAAGGUUAACCGUAUAGGGGAGCCGUAGGGAAACCGAGUCUUAACCGGGCGUUAAGUUGCAGGGUAUAGACCCGAAACCCGGUGAUCUAGCCAUGGGCAGGUUGAAGGUUGGGUAACACUAACUGGAGGACCGAACCGACUAAUGUUGAAAAAUUAGCGGAUGACCUGUGGCUGGGGGUGAAAGGCCAAUCAAACCGGGAGAUAGCUGGUUCUCCCCGAAAGCUAUUUAGGUAGCGCCUCGUGAAUUCAUCUCCGGGGGUAGAGCACUGUUUCGGCUAGGGGGCCAUCCCGGCUUACCAACCCGAUGCAAACUGCGAAUACCGGAGAAUGUUAUCACGGGAGACACACGGCGGGUGCUAACGUCCGUCGUGAAGAGGGAAACAACCCAGACCGCCAGCUAAGGUCCCAAAGUCAUGGUUAAGUGGGAAACGAUGUGGGAAGGCCCAGACAGCCAGGAUGUUGGCUUAGAAGCAGCCAUCAUUUAAAGAAAGCGUAAUAGCUCACUGGUCGAGUCGGCCUGCGCGGAAGAUGUAACGGGGCUAAACCAUGCACCGAAGCUGCGGCAGCGACGCUGAUGCGUUGUUGGGUAGGGGAGCGUUCUGUAAGCCUGUGAAGGUGGCCUGUGAGGGUUGCUGGAGGUAUCAGAAGUGCGAAUGCUGACAUAAGUAACGAUAAAGCGGGUGAAAAGCCCGCUCGCCGGAAGACCAAGGGUUCCUGUCCAACGUUAAUCGGGGCAGGGUGAGUCGACCCCUAAGGCGAGGCCGAAAGGCGUAGUCGAUGGGAAACGGGUUAAUAUUCCCGUACUUGGUGUUACUGCGAAGGGGGGACGGAGAAGGCUAUGUUGGCCGGGCGACGGUUGUCCCGGUUUAAGCGUGUAGGUGUGUGUUCCAGGUAAAUCCGGUUCACUUUAACACUGAGGCGUGAUGACGAGGCACUACGGUGCUGAAGCAACAAAUGCCCUGCUUCCAGGAAAAGCCUCUAAGCAUCAGGUAACAUCAAAUCGUACCCCAAACCGACACAGGUGGUCAGGUAGAGAAUACCAAGGCGCUUGAGAGAACUCGGGUGAAGGAACUAGGCAAAAUGGUGCCGUAACUUCGGGAGAAGGCACGCUGACACGUAGGUGAAGUGAUUUACUCAUGGAGCUGAAGUCAGUCGAAGAUACCAGCUGGCUGCAACUGUUUAUUAAAAACACAGCACUGUGCAAACACGAAAGUGGACGUAUACGGUGUGACGCCUGCCCGGUGCCGGAAGGUUAAUUGAUGGGGUCAGCGCAAGCGAAGCUCCUGAUCGAAGCCCCGGUAAACGGCGGCCGUAACUAUAACGGUCCUAAGGUAGCGAAAUUCCUUGUCGGGUAAGUUCCGACCUGCACGAAUGGCGUAAUGAUGGCCAGGCUGUCUCCACCCGAGACUCAGUGAAAUUGAACUCGCUGUGAAGAUGCAGUGUACCCGCGGCAAGACGGAAAGACCCCGUGAACCUUUACUAUAGCUUGACACUGAACAUUGAGCCUUGAUGUGUAGGAUAGGUGGGAGGCUUUGAAGCGUGGACGCCAGUCUGCAUGGAGCCGGCCUUGAAAUACCACCCUUUAAUGUUUGAUGUUCUAACGUGGACCCGUGAUCCGGGUUGCGGACAGUGUCUGGUGGGUAGUUUGACUGGGGCGGUCUCCUCCUAAAGAGUAACGGAGGAGCACGAAGGUUGGCUAAUCCUGGUCGGACAUCAGGAGGUUAGUGCAAUGGCAUAAGCCAGCUUGACUGCGAGCGUGACGGCGCGAGCAGGUGCGAAAGCAGGUCAUAGUGAUCCGGUGGUUCUGAAUGGAAGGGCCAUCGCUCAACGGAUAAAAGGUACUCCGGGGAUAACAGGCUGAUACCGCCCAAGAGUUCAUAUCGACGGCGGUGUUUGGCACCUCGAUGUCGGCUCAUCACAUCCUGGGGCUGAAGUAGGUCCCAAGGGUAUGGCUGUUCGCCAUUUAAAGUGGUACGCGAGCUGGGUUUAGAACGUCGUGAGACAGUUCGGUCCCUAUCUGCCGUGGGCGCUGGAGAACUGAGGGGGGCUGCUCCUAGUACGAGAGGACCGGAGUGGACGCAUCACUGGUGUUCGGGUUGUCAUGCCAAUGGCACUGCCCGGUAGCUAAAUGCGGAAGAGAUAAGUGCUGAAAGCAUCUAAGCACGAAACUUGCCCCGAGAUGAGUUCUCCCUGAGACUUAGAGUCUCCUGAAGGAACGUUGAAGACGACGACGUUGAUAGGCCGGGUGUGUAAGCGCAGCGAUGCGUUGAGCUAACCGGUACUAAUGAACCGUGAGGCUUAACCUUACAACGCCGAAG
RNAcentral lists this ribosomal RNA (2835 nucleotides) under Salmonella enterica. RNAcentral describes it as "partial 23S ribosomal RNA". It matches the Rfam family "Bacterial large subunit ribosomal RNA". Lineage: Bacteria; Pseudomonadati; Pseudomonadota; Gammaproteobacteria; Enterobacterales; Enterobacteriaceae. The record is from RNAcentral.